UCCAAUCUUUGUGACAAGUAAAAGUGUUCUGAUAUGUAAUUCUGUGUCAUUGUCAUCUGUCAUGUUAUCAGUAUUACCAGUUUUCGUCAUCGGAAUUUCGUAAUAGUUGCUUCAGUCACAGUUUCGAGUUCUUUUUGUAAAUAUACUAAUAUAAAAUUGCCUAAAGACUAAGAUACCUGUUACAGGCAAUAGGUGAGCUCCUUGUUGAUAUUUUUUUCUUGCCAGCCUGCUCAAAAACAAAGCAAAAUUUAACCUUUCUUUGUGGAUUGGAAAGAUGGACAUCAUAAAUGGAAACAAGUUGAGCAAGUUUCCAUAAGCAAGAAAAUCAAGCUGGGGCCAAAGGGAAUUGUUUGCCUAAUAAACAUAAUAGUCAAUUGUUACUAGUCAAACAUGACUGUUUUGUCAAACAGCCAUUGGAUCCUAAUGUUUCCCUGUCUGUUUGUUCUUGCAGGUCAGCUUCUUUUCGUUAACUCCGACGUCAUCCAGGAAUUCUUACCUCGAGGAGUAAGUGCUUACGGCGAUGGUCUUGAAAAUGGUCAACUUCUUCAUAUUCCUCUAGGUGAUGGUGAUGUAAACCAGUCUUUGUUGUUUACGUAUUUCGCCAAUGUAACUAAAGGGUGUUCCUGGACUAAUGUCACGUUAUUUCUACGACACGAUGGGUUACCAAUUGUCAAUGUCUUUAACGCGAGCUAUCCUAAUUUCACUUGGGUUUAUCAACCCAUCGACUACGAAGAAAACUUCCUCAGUGAUGGCCUACAGCAACGGUUGACAAUUCAUCCUCGCCAACCUUCCUCUUCGGUUAUCUUCGGAGUUGUAUUUUUUUUAGAAGAUGCUGCUCGCAUCCAACAGCAAGGAUUGACCAAGUCAUGCACUACUCUAUUUUGGGGUAGAGUUGAAACUCUACCCCUUAACGUUAGUUCAAUAUCAGUUAGCGAGCGUGUUGACGAGACGGCCGCGAAGCUCGUGAGGAAAAACUAUGUCCAACCGCUCAGUGCUAAAUGGGUUUUAGAUCACAAUAAAGGAGACGAUAACAUAUCGGCCAACACAGAAUCCAUUCUUGAUCUCAAAUCCAGUGAUAUUCCAACUUUUCUAUCAUGGACAAUUUUAUCUCCUACGGAUAUAGGAGGAACAUUACAAGUCGAUAUUAAAUUCAAUCAGGACGAGCGGAACAGUAGCGUAUUUGGCUAUCUUGCUUUUGGUACGCAAGAAAACCCCAAUAGAACUCAAUUUAGUGCCAAUAGCUCCGAGGUGAUUCCAAAGGCCACUAUCAUUGUUCCUUACCCACUGGCAGGCGUAUGGUAUUUGUCUCUCUUCGCAAACUGCACCGAAUGGAAUGAGUCCGACUGUCAACGGAACAUUUCCGUCAAAGUCCAGAUUUCUUUAUCGCCGUGUAAAGAGGGAGCGUGCGGACCUCAUGGUCGCUGCAUCCAAUACUUUUCUGCCGGACUAAUUUAUUCUGCUUGUGUUUGCUCUAGUGGUUUUGCUGGUUGGAGUUGUAGUGAUGGAUCAAACGCUCUAUCUACUGCAAUACUGCUAACGUCCGUCCUUCUCCUAACGUUGAGCAAUCUCUUUUUCAUUCCAGCAAUCUUUCUAGCAUUUCGGAGAGGUUUCUAUUCACAGUGUUUACUUUAUUUCGUGACAAUGUUUUUCUCUUCGUUUUACCACGCUUGCGAUCAACCGGAGUUCAAUUUUUGUCUAAUGCCAUACACCGUUCUGCAGUUUGGCGAUUUCUACUCGGCUUUAACUUCAGUUUGGUUAACUGCUUUCAUUGUAGCCAAUCCAAGCGUUAGUGAAGAGAUUUCUAGCGCAAUGUGUAUUGGUGGUGCUGUUGGAAUAGCUAUGGCAGUGCAUUACAAUUCAACGUCAUUAGCAUCAUUUACUAUACCAAUCGUUUGCGGCCUUGGUCUCAUUGCUAUCUGCUGGACUCGUCAGAGCUGUCAGAUGCACAAGUGUUACCCUGGAAAGUCCUACUGUUUGAAGGCUGUGCUCCCUUGCCUAUUAUUUUCCAUUGUUGGAUUAGUUUGUUUCGCAUUCCUCGAAACCGAAGACAACUACUUUUAUGUCCACAGCAUCUGGCACAUUUCGAUUGCUCUGGCCAUUGUAUUUGUUAUUCCGCCAGAGGGUAAGAAAUUCGACAUCACAAAACCUCCGUCCAUUGAUCACGAACCUCUCUCACUCUGAUUGGGUAUCCAGACUUGCAUUUAAGUUUCGUUGUUUUCAAUUUCUAAUUAAAUGGAUACAACGGUAAAUCAUGCAUUUACACUAACCUUUGUUUUAUAUCCUGUCACACAAAUUUUCUCUAUAUUUCUUUAUCAUAAAUUUUCCCUAUUGAAUAUGUUUAAUUUCAGUAUUUUUCUUGUAGAUUAUCUUGUGAAGGCCGGAAGAGUAAAACUUGCGCUUUUUAAUGUAAAAAUUAGACGCAUCCACGAUCAUUUUUUAUUCUUUCAAGAAAUAUAAAGAAAGGUUUGACCUUCAGCGCAUAAAAGAAAAAAAUAUAUUUGAAGGCAUGGAAAGUCUGGAGGUUGCGGGAGGUUGAGAGAGAAAAACGUUUACGUCCAGCCUUCGUAGUUGCAUUUCAUUUUCGAAUUCUCAGUUCUUUGAGAAGGUUGUGGUAACUUAGUUUUUUUUUAAGGGAGUUUCUUACAUUAUCCCACAGGAAGCCUUGAAAAGGCUCGCCCUGAAGCGGCAUGUGUCAUUUUUCUUAACAAAAUUUGUGUUAAAGUUGCGUCUGCUGUCGUCUGCUGUGAACCACGUGUUUACUGUUUCACUCUAGAGCAUUGUAGAGUAGGCAGAGUGCAGUAGAAGAGAGAGACUGGACAUUGAAAGUCUGUUAUUUGUGUUGAUCUUGUAUUUUUAAGUGAUGGCGAAGCGUAACUCGGGUCAUUUUGAACCGUUUCCAUAUAAUCAUGAAUACUACGCACUCCUUCGUAUUAAAGAGAAU
RNAcentral lists this unclassified non-coding RNA (2941 nucleotides) under Daphnia pulex (common water flea). RNAcentral's name for it is "transmembrane protein 8B-like, transcript variant X8". Lineage: Eukaryota; Metazoa; Arthropoda; Branchiopoda; Diplostraca; Daphniidae. The record is from RNAcentral.